RNAcentral lists this long non-coding RNA (1914 nucleotides) under Sorghum bicolor (sorghum). RNAcentral's name for it is "long non-coding RNA (SBIC_LNC015501)". The record is from RNAcentral. Lineage: Eukaryota; Viridiplantae; Streptophyta; Magnoliopsida; Poales; Poaceae.
GGGGCUUAGGGUUUUCAUAAUGCAAGAAAGUAAAUACAGAAGCUAUUGUUAUUGUUAUUUAUGUCACCACAGUAAAUAUUCCUACAGGUUACCAUAAGUUUAUUCAUGUGGAGCUUUUAAUAUUUUAUGAUGCAGUAAAUGAAGCAAUAAAGAUUUUUAUUUUAUUUUAUUUUAUUUUUUAUAUUUAUGCGAUGAAAAUACUAAGGUAGAUUUAUUAAUGUAGACAGAAAUACUAAUUAAUUAGAUAACAACCAUAUUACCUUAUGGCGAUGAUGUAAAAUUUAAAGUUUACCGACAUGUCUUCUUCUUCUUCUAAUCUUAUGUAUCUCUCCAUCUUGAGAGAUGGAGGUCUUGAUGGUUGCAUACCUCUAGUAAUGACGAUGUCACCUUUGUUCUUUGAUUUGGCCAGCAGGUUGAAGGACAAUUUUAAUAGUAGCUGGCAGCAUCUUACUUAGUGUGCAUGCUCACAAAACUUUCACUUGUAGAAUUAAUAAACUUUGCUUGAUGUGUUGUCCUGUUUGUAAAACUAAGGUAAAGAUCAAGUGCAUGGGCUCUGCUAGUGGAAAAAUGCCAAUAGAACAAAACAUAUUUCUUUAUUUAUUCUUCUCCAUCCUUAGGCACAUUAAACAAGAUAAAGUUAUGUUAUAUGAUUUAUUUAUUUAUGAGUGGUAAGAUCAAAAGAUUAAGCAUUUAAUGUUGCAUUGAAGUUCACAUGACAAAAAAGAAUGAAAUUGCUUAACCAAUGGAAGGAUUGUCUAUCUCUAUAUAAAUUUUCAAAUAAGUAUGACUAUCAUCUUCCCAAGAUUGAAUAUAAUGUUUUAACUUGUUUAGUUAAGACUGAGAUUAAGAGAAUGGUUCCAUGAACAAUUUUAAAGAGCAAAACAUAUUGAGUUAACCAGGUUGAUCAAUUUAAGUUGUAACUCUAAUAUGUUUGUGUCUUCACUUAUGUGCACACCAAGAUCAAGAGGAGAGAGUGACCACUUACCUUAGAAUAUUACCUUUAUUAUUAGAGCGUGAUGUCACUAACUGAUGAAGGGUAAAUGACUGGUGGUCCUUGCUCUUGCAUCUUGAGUUGUUCAUAGACAUAUUGUCUCCUCUGUUGCACUCAUUCUUUUGCCAUCUUUUGCUUCUUUAAUCUGUUGACUCUUUUCACUCAAGUUAUAAUUAUGCUUGCAACAUAUUAGUGGACAGCAUGUACCCGAAGGGAUAUACAAGUAAUGACAAGGGCAUUGUUGUAACACAGCUAAGGGUCACUUUCUAUGCUACAAAAAGGAGUUUGCUUGAGCAUACUUAGCAUAGCAUAUUUAUUAUUCACAAUUACUUGUUUCUAAGGGUUUGAAUUUAUUUCCUUGUCUUAUGUUUUGAUUCUCAAAUAUAGGUAUUAUGAAUCAGCUCAGACUUAUAGAAAUAAAGUAAUAGUGGAUUUAGAGAUUGCAAACCAGCGUGUGGAGUGAUGAGGAAGGACUCGGUUGGACUAGCUAGGAGAGUUGGCCUUCCUUCUCGACCACAGAGGUGAGAGUGCAGAACAUUGCAUGCUCUUCUCUUAUCAAUCCUUCUUUCUUCUUGGCUACAAGUGAGUUGUAUCUUCCUUGUGCAAAAUUAUUGUAUCUCUUCAUCUCUAGUGUGAGUUCAUCUCAGGACUUUCCCACUUUGAAUUUGGAAGUUUUCCUGCAGGGGUUAGUCUAGCAAAAUAUUCCAAUAUCUACUACAACAUACUAUCGGCUCAAAAAUCAACCUAGACACCACGUCUAAUUUGAUUUAAGAAGGCAUUUUAAUCAUGCAUAAUUAAAAGCCUUUGAAAGUAAGAUCACCACUACUAAAUUAAGUUCCAUACUUCAUUUUAAGAGAUGAAUGAAACUACUCCAAACCUAAACAUAUACUAUAGCAAACAAAGGUAACAUAAAAGCACUAUAG